UAUUAAUGUGAUAUUUAAUAAUGUGAUAUAUUAUUUGCAUUAAGCCAGUGAUAUUUAUUAAUACUCAUCAUUCAUACUAGACGUGUUUUGCAGAAACAUUUUUAUCUGAUUGCUGUUAUUAACUGCUGUGGCUUUGUGAUUUGCUGCUUUUGCAUAUCGUAAAUCACUUGAAUCACACAUGAUUGCCAUCUUCCUGAAUGAGCACUGCAGAUUUAUGGACAGGAAUCCCCUUAUGUCCUCAAGUACACGAGGAUAAAUUCAAAGCCUUAAUGGCAAUCUCUAAUUUAUAAAGUCUCUCAACCAUUUGGUAAAUAAAAGUUCUUCACAACAUCUGAAAAGCCAUUUGCAUGUGUGCCCUUUGAGAGGCAUUAUUUUUAUCAUUAUAUUUUACUGCAACAAUUUUCAUCAUUCUAUUCUGUUAGGUCAUAUCUGAAGAUCAGAACACCACUUGAAAAAAAGUGCUGAGCAGUUAAAUAACAAGAACAUUCCUAACACAAAGAAUUUAAAUCUAUGUAUGUCAAAACAAAAAUAAAUACAACACAGAAUGUGUAGAAGUUAUUUGAUGCAAAUAAAUGAAUGAGGAAACAAAAAAAGUCUAAAGAUGCUACUGGUUGUGUGACUGCUUUUCUACUGGCACAACUGAAUAUAUUGUGCAGUAAAGAUGGCAACGGGAAGAUGGCGAGGUAGCCCUUAAAACUCUUGCUCUGCUUUCUGUUAACAGUUAAUAUGGAGUUCAGUGAAUGAAAACAAGCCUUCAUAGAAUUACAUUAUGAAAAUUGUUUUAAUGAAAAAGCAUACAUGCUUUAUUAGAGUCUAUACUGACUGCUCAGCAGUCAUGUACUUAAUCAGACUAAUUGCUCUCACUUCUGCAGUUUAGAAGUAAGCCAGAGACGCACACAACUGUUGAUGCAAAUUAAAACUAAUUUACAACCUGAAAAUCUGCACCACGUUCUGCAACAGCUCAGCCGAGCUACAGACACCUCCCUUCCUCCACUCAAGUUUGAUGAGAUGGAGAGAGGCAAUGGUUUCCUGCUGAAGUGUGGUUGUGCUAAGGCCCUUGUACCCUCUUUUAAAUUAAUUAGGCUCUCUCACAACAAGAUGAGAAGAAAGUGCCCCAGGAAUUGAGGUGGAUGUGUGCAGAUGUCUGCUGGGUACAGGGUAGCAGCACUGGGUUAAAAACUUGUACCAUAGAUGAUGAGAACUUCUAGAACAAAUUCACACAUGCAGAAAAUUGCUGUGAACAGGCACAAGCACAAGGUGUAGGCAGAAUAAACAGACAAUUGCCCCUCCCCACACUUUUAUAUAUGGAUAAGGUGAUUUUUAUUUGGGAGUGCUGACAAAGAGCGUGUAUGGCAAAUAGGUAUACAGGACCAGAGAGAUUAUCACAUUACAAAGGAGUAAUGAAAUAAAGAUCCUACCCGUGUCCUGGGCUCACAGAAGGACUCUAAGAGGAGCGAUCCUAGAGAUCACUCCUCCAGCUAGAGAUCCUUCCUCCUUGGGAGUCAGCCCUUAAAUGGGGCCUAGGAGGGGUGGAGCCUGGCUCCAUCCCUUCCAGUCACUCAGGUGAAAUUGUGUUCACCUGUGCCCUUGCACCUGACUCAGUGCUCGCCUCAGGUGGUCAAUCAGAGGUUCAGGCCGUGAUUCAACUGUUCCCAUACAGAGUGCUAUUCUGGAAGAGCUACAGUAGUGCUAAUCAAUUUUCUAUGUGCAGUAGAAGCAUCUAAGAGCUCACAUACAUACUCAGUUUAUCUAAGAAGACUUCCAUACCAAACCAAAUCUCAAUAUGGACCUUCCACAUGAAAGCAAAAGCCAUCUCAAUAAGCUUGGAUCUUUCCAUGCCUCAGUAUGAUAGUACAGUGAUAUUUUACAUGGCAAUAGUCCUAACAGUACACAUUUGGUAUCACCAAAGUAAGUUAUCUGCAAAAUAGCAAAUGAUUGUCCUACAUUGUACUAUCUGGCAUUGAAAAUAACAUGAGAAACUUCCCAUUUCAUAUGUACAAAGUAAACUUGCUGCUAGAAGAGCUGGAUCUCCAUUUGAAACAUGAAGAAACCUUCAGAUCAUCAGGUCCAGUCCUCUGCUCUUGCAGGAAUUCACAUCCCUGAAUCAACAGGAGGUCUCCAAGCCAGUAAAAUCAGCACACAGUCAGAGUUGGAGAUUCGGAUUCGCUUUGUUUUUCCUCUCAUUCUGCUCUCAACACACCAAGGUCAAGUGUGUGCCAUUACUGUGAAUUCAUGCACAAAUAGGGAAGGCUCAGGUCCCUGUGUGUCAUCAGUACUGUGAUUGCAGAGAGCCUGUGAAAGUUUUAAGCACAAAAAUAAGAAAUUGAGUUAGUCCUGCCAGCUUCAAAUACUUAAAUACCAUGAGUCAGUUCCUCCCAAAGCCAAACAAAUAAUUUUCUUCAAAGAGCAGCAAAUAUAGAGCUCUUUUGAGUUAAACCAUUAUUAUUCCUUUGGAUCACAUUUCUUUUGCAAGCACAAGAGCAAGAAAAUUACUCUUUUGAAAAGGCAAGACCCCACCUCAUCUCAGGUCACCAGGACUUGCAGGUGUAAAAGCACCCCGAGUUACUUACAAAAUCAUAAGAAUUAGAAUCAUAGAAUUAUAGAAUCCUUAGAGUGGGAAGGGACAUUUAAAAGUCAUGUAGUCCAACUCCCCUGCAAUGAACAGGGACAUCCACAGCUAGAUCAGGUUGCUGAGAGCCCUGUAGAGCCUGACCUCAAGGCCAGGGAUGGGGCAUUCACCUGUGGAAGUGCCUCACCAUCCCCACUGUAAAUGACUUUUUCCUUAUAUCCAGCAUAAAUCUUCCCCCUUAAAGUUUAAAACCAUUUUGCCUUGUCCUAUCACAACAGACUCUGCUACAGAGUCUGUCCCCUUCUUUCUUGUGUUUCUCCUUUAGAUACUGAAAGGCCACUGUCACGUAACCUCAAAGCCUCCUCUUCUCCAGGCUGAACAGCCCCAGUUCUCAGCCUGUCCCUGUAGGGAGGUGUUCCAUCCCUUGGGUCAUUUUUGUGGCCCUCCUCUGGACAUGCUCCAACAGGUCCAUGUCUCUCCUGUACUGAGGACUCCACAUCUGGACGCAGUACUGCAGGUGAGGCCUCAUCAGCACAGAGCAGAGGGGCAGGAUCAUCUCCCUUGUCCUGCUGGCCACGCUGCUUUUGAUGCAGCCCAGGAUAUGGUUGGCUUUCUUGGCUGCGAGAACACACUGCUGCUCAUUCUAGCUUGCCAUUCAUCAGUACCUCCAAGUCCUUCUCAGCAGGGCUGUGCUCAAUCCUUUUUCAUCUCUCAUCUUGCAUUGAUAGUGAGGCUUGCCCACUGGGCCCACGGCUCAAGCCUGUCUAGGUGUCUCUGGAUGGCAAUCCAUCCCUUGAGCAACUUGUCAACUGCAUCACACAGCUUGGUGUCAUCCUCAUACUUGCUGAGAGAGCACUCGACCCCACUGUCAAUGUUAUUGAUGAAGAUAUUAAAGAGUAUUGGUCACGACAGUGACCCCUGGGAGACACUACUCACCACUGACACUGAGUCAUCGACUCUCUGGGUUCAAUCCUGCAGCCAGUUCCUUGCAGAUUAGUGCUUAUUAACUGGUAGAUUAGUGCUAAAUAAACUUGUCUCCAAAUAGUGUUUCUGUUUUCCAAGCACAUUGACUUGGCUCGUAUUCUCUUUAAACCUGGAACCUGAGUAAGUGUUGGGUUUCUUUUCUGCUCUUCAGUGCUCUUCUGUUUCACAUACAGAGAACACUCAUUUUUCAGAGGGUAGUGUGAUAGCUUCCUUGCAGGUCGGUCCAGAAUCUCUUUUUCCCCUCUGAAAUGCCUUAGAUUAUGAGAUAGUUUCAAGUUCAAAGAUUGCCAAGGAAACUUCUUCAAAAGUGUUCUUUGAGUCAAAGAUAAAAGCGAUGCCCAGCAGGAACAGGCUAACAGUAGUCAAAGAAAAGAUGAACUCCCAGCAGAAGUGAUGGAAUUCACUCCCUUUCGUUCAACUACUGUGAAAGACUACACCAGUCUCUAUUAAUAAUCUUUUUUCUUUUUUUCUUUUUCUGUGCACUGUCUACACCAAUAGAUAUGUAAUAAAUCUGCCUGUGCCUCUGCCUUUUUAACCUAACUAUCCUGGUGCUUAUGAUGCUUUCCCUGAGAACGGGGCUUAGACCACCGCACACUUCAUACGGUAACACAGAUGUCAUCAAAAAAUGACACAUCUGCACACUUCUGCAGCAGGCAAAGGACACCAGGGCUGUGCAAGAGAACACCAGCCUGGACCUGGAGAAGAUGAUCUUCUGGAUUUAGUGGUGAUCUGUUGAUACAUCAGUGAGCAUUUAGCAUCUUCUUCCUCAAUAAAUCUGAGAUUCUCAGAAAGUCCACUGAUGUGGAAUUAUAUAUCUAAAUUCAGUGCUACAAAUGCAGAAAAGCUAAGAUCCUUUUGCAGAAAGGGAGAAAUUAAUAUGGAGAGGCAUCCAGACCAGAAAUGUUGGUGGUCAGAGGAGUGUUUCCAAGAAAACAACUUUUAUCUCCUGCAAAUCUGUACUACCAUUAAGCCCUUACUGCUUGAUUGCCCUUAUGCCAAUCAUGCUCGUAAGUUACUUCUCAUUUCUACCUUUGGAAGCAUUUACAGAGGAAGCUGAUAUCUUCCUAUCCCCUCUAAUACCUGAGAAACAUGAGUUUGGAAGAUCAAAUGACUUUCCUCAGCCACCUAACAGUCCUGUGACACAGCCUCUUGGCUCAGCUCCUGGGGCAAUGACUAUCAUCAUGGUUCUUCAGACCGCAGCAGAUCCACUGUGUUAUCAGAGAAGUUGUAAUAAAAUAGCUUAUUUCCAUGCUUUCUGAGUAAACCUGCACUUCAGGCACCUCCUUUGUGCCUCUGUGUAUUGCGGGCCGUAACCCAAUAAGCCUGUGAUGACUUCUGCAUUCCCAAACAGCGAGCGAAUGAUACCACAACCCCGCUAUGCAAAGUGGCUUUAAUGUAUUUCUUCUAAGUUAACUAAAUGUUGACGAUGUUCUCUGAUAAAUAAAAGCCCUAAAAACUGUUCCCAGUGGUGCAGUACUGAUCAGGAAGAAAUGUAUCUCAAGGCAACUCUCUUACACUGAAGUUUUCUAUAAAGAAUACUCUGAAGCUUCGCCAUAAAUAAUUAAACACCUUUUUAAAAUAUUAAUGCAGUUUGUUGAUGGCUUCUGUUUUGUUUAUGUUGUUUCGAAGAUGUUGACUGUAGGCAAGUAUAGAUCUUAUCUCUGAUGAAAAAAAGCUUUGAAAGUAGUCUAACACCUUUGCAGUUGAAAGUCUUUCUCCAGACAGGGACUUUUAACUAAAGAGUGCUGUCAGCAAGGCAACACUCCUGAGGAGGAAAAUCUAUAGAUAAAACAGAGCACAGCAAAGUCACUGCAAACAAAUCUGCUCAGUGUUUGAGCCACUAAUGUCAGCUGUUUACAAAUGCCAGAACUUUGGCUCCAUAACGCUGCUGUCAGCAAUAUGCACGCAUAGACAGAGAUGGUCUGAGGCAGUAAUUGAUAUUAUUUCCAAACUAACUAAUACAAAAAGUGGUUAUUAAGAGCACUUUAAGGCACUGCUGAGAAAACGGACAAUAGUUGCAGUGCAUCACUUUCCUUAUUAUAGUUCCCUUCCAUUUAGGAAGAGCUUACGGGUAUCAAGGCUGAUGGCAUCUAAUAAAUGAGUACUAUCCCUGUUUCUGGAGCCAAUCGCGAGGCUGCAGGUAAUUCGAACAGUAUUUUUAAAUUCAUGGAAAUGUGACAAAGUUUUUCCAAUUGUUUUUCUAUUUGGGAAGAUUUAAGAUUUCCAACCAGCUGAUGACAGGGCACUGCAAGGAAUCUGGAGCGUUCCAGUCUCAGUCUCCCACAAAGCAGAGGGCACAAAUGCCACAGCUCUAGUGCCAGCUUUAUGAGUUGAAUACCUCUCAAAGCUCACUCUUCUAAGAAUGAUCCUACUUGGCCAGGAGCAACUUUUGUUGUCAGCCUCAUGCCCCCUGCUUCCAACAGCUCCAAGCUGAUCCAUGACUAUUAUUUCUGUGCUGUUUGUUGAUGCAGCUUGGUGUCCCACUGCCUGAACUGAACACUAGGGAUCUCCCUUAAAUAAUAAUAAUAAUCAAAAGGCUCAUAUUAAAGAAAACAGAAAAAUGAAGUACAGAAUAAAAAAAAAAGUCUUCCUUAAGGUUAGAAAAGUGGUAACUGCUAGCUUAUAAGUGGAGUCCCAGAUGUGGAAAAACCCUCCUACAUCCUUGCCUUUGUGCCAACAUAAUAGAAUAACCACUUUUAAAAUACCUGAAUUUAAGUGCCUCCCAUUACUGCAGCAGACCUGCAGAUGAUCAUGGUUAAUCUGUUGUACUGAAUGCAGGUAUCCAUUGUUUCUGCAAUUAUCUGCUGAGCACAGAUUCCAGCACUGAACACAAACGCAGGGCAUUGGUAUGCUGGGUCUCCUGUGCUCUGCUGUUUAUGUUAAACGGGUUGGUGUAAGUACUAUUGUAAAUGGUGAAGCUCAUUAUAUCUUCAUAGGUAUGAGCUCUUGGUUUCAAAAUGAGAAGGAAGAGCUCCUGUUGAUUCCCACAGCUUCGUCAGACACCCAGAGCAGUCUGCUUGCCUGCAGACCUGUCGCUGCAACGUGGCCUUGAGUCAAUUAGGCCAUUUCAGAAUUAAAAAGAAAGAAUAUUGAAUGUCACUAGCAGAUGGUGAAGCUCUCUAUUAAGUAGAUAAAGUCUGGAUACGUUUUCAGGGAAGAAGAAUGAAAUUAACAAGCAUAUAAAACUGCAGUGUUGCUAGUCCCCAGAGCAGAAGCAUGGUUUUCUGGGCAUGUUCUGCCUCAGUUGAGCAGUGGUGUAAGAGGGGCAUUUUCCUGCUCUGGAUUGUGGUCCUGUGUGCACCAGUGAAACAUGCCAGCCUCCCUUCAGCAGUGUUGCAGUGGCACACAGGUCUUUUAUGGGUGACUGGUCCACCUUUCAAAUGGGGCUCUUUCCAAACUACCAUAAGACCUUCAGAUUGCUAUUGCAUAACACCACUAGCACAGACCCUUAUCUUAGCAAGUUAGCAUUAAAAUGUCACAGCAUGAUCAAAGCACUGAAAUUCACGCUACUUUCCCUCUUCGCUUGAAGAAGUGAAAUUAUUAACUAGGUCAUUAGAAUAAAAAUUUAGCACUGUAUGCGUUCACAACAUUUUGCUUCCACUAAUUAAUUUCCAACUGAAUCCCCUGCCAGAGGAUCAUCUUACUAUAGUGAGACAGAGGUCACAGUAUGCAGAAGCUUAAUUGGAGGGGAAGAAGUCCCAGAAGGACAUAGCCCUGCUGCAUCUCCACGAUGGGCUGGACCAACAGUGCCAAGGGCCAUGCAGAGCUGGAACUGUGCGAGCUCCUGCAAAUGCAGCCGUGGGGCAUUGUUGCUGUGGGGCUCUGUCCUCAUUGUAAGCAUCAGAGCAUGCACAGGAAUGUGUCACCUUCAUAAUUAAGUCUUCUAAUUAGCGCAUCCUAUCCCUGACAUAGGCAGGAUUACAUUUCAGCAACAGGUUGGCCAGGUGUUCAACAGCACCAUGUUCAUACGUUCAUACCAAGAUGCUAGUAAGCCUGCAGGUGCAUCUGUGCAUGGCACAGCCCCAGGACUGGCUGUGGAAGCAGUGGCUUGGGUCGGUGACUCUGGAUGGAUCCAUCCCACCACAACGUUCUUGCAAACAGCCCUUGUCUGUGUGGCCUUCAGCAGUAAAGGCAAAAGGUGGUGGGAAUAGGGGCAUGCACUGUCUGUGAUGCUCCUCCAUGAAGCCACUCAUGGCCACUCACUCUUCAACCCACUGCCUGACCAUAAUGUCUGGAGCAACCCCAGAUGCCCCUGCUUGCUCAGCCGAUACGUGUAGGCAGGAC
RNAcentral lists this long non-coding RNA (7837 nucleotides) under Gallus gallus (chicken). RNAcentral describes it as "lncRNA (ENSGALG00010007348.1)". Lineage: Eukaryota; Metazoa; Chordata; Aves; Galliformes; Phasianidae. The record is from RNAcentral.